This 781-nucleotide long non-coding RNA is filed under the name Olea europaea subsp. europaea. The record is from RNAcentral. Lineage: Eukaryota; Viridiplantae; Streptophyta; Magnoliopsida; Lamiales; Oleaceae.
GGAGAGCAAAAGAGAAGUGCAAGAAAAUUGUGUAGAGUGAAAACACGAGAGAUAGUGAGCAAAACACAAAGUGAGAAGCAGUUAGGCUUUCGUUUGUGUAGAAAAUUAACGAGAGAAAAUUGAGAGAUUGUCUUUGCGUAGGCAAAUAAAAUACAGAGAGUGUAUUUGUUGUAUUCCUUUUAUUCUCUUGUUGAUAUAGUAAAAGAAUUGGUGUGGGUUUGUGGACGUAGGCACGAUUGUCGAACCACGUAAAUUCUUGUGUCACUUGCACUUAUUAUUGCUACAUUUAUUUCUUCUCAGUUCAAAUUAUUUUGCGUCCCACUGAUCCUGACGGAAUUAGUAGCGGUCUAAUUUCCUAACAAAAACGAGCCACCGCGAUAGGGCUCAAUUCGUCGCCACAGCUGCAACCACAAGCGGUAGGAUUCACGAAUACAACAAAUGUUACAAGACUUUUUCCACUGGCCAGGCUUUGGGUGGCCACAUGCGGCGGCACUAUGAAGGCGUCAUCAGCAACGGCAAGAAAACCAAUGUGAUCCCACCCGACGGCGGCGCCUCCAGCCACUGCAACAGCAAUUGGCACGUGGUUCACGACUUCGACUUGAACCUCCCCGCCUUAGCAGAAGAUGAAAGUCCUAAUCCUUGAGGAAACAGCGUUUGGAUGAAUGUUUUCUGGUGUUGUUCACUUUUUUUUUUUUUUUUUUUUUUUUUUUGGCCUAGAGAAAUAUUCUUGUUGUUCUUGUUGGUGGUGGUGCAAGAAAUAGUUAUAACUCUUCAGAUCGAU